RNAcentral lists this ribosomal RNA (468 nucleotides) under uncultured bacterium. Its description in RNAcentral is "partial 16S ribosomal RNA". It matches the Rfam family "Bacterial small subunit ribosomal RNA", at positions 28 to 507 of the family's 1533-position model. The record is from RNAcentral.
GACGAACGCUGGCGGCGUGCUUAACACAUGCAAGUCGAACGGAAAGGCCCUGCUUUUGUGGGGUGCUCGAGUGGCGAACGGGUGAGUAACACGUGAGUAACCUGCCCUUGACUUUGGUAUAACUUCAGGAAACUGGGGCUAAUACCGGAUAGGAGCUCCUGCUGCAUGGUGGGGGUUGGAAAGUUUCGGCGGUUGGGGAUGGACUCGCGGCUUAUCAGCUUGUUGGUGGGGUAGUGGCUUACCAAGGCUUUGACGGGUAGCCGGCCUGAGAGGGUGACCGGCCACAUUGGGACUGAGAGACGGCCCAGACUCGUACGGGAGGCAGCAGUGGGGAAUAUUGCACAAUGGGCGGAAGCCUGAUGCAGCAACGCCGCGUGCGGGAUGACGGCCUUCGGGUUGUAAACCGCUUUCGCCUGUGACGAAGCGUGAGUGACGGUAAUGGGUAAAGAAGCACCGGCUAACUACGUG